Molecule: long non-coding RNA, 8640 nt
Filed under: Sus scrofa (pig)
Lineage: Eukaryota; Metazoa; Chordata; Mammalia; Artiodactyla; Suidae
Description: lncRNA (ENSSSCG00040027649.1)
Source: RNAcentral
UUUUUUUUUUUUUUUUUUUUUUGUCCUUUUGCCUUUUCUAGGGCCGGUUCCUGUGGCAUACGGAGCUUCCCAGGCUAGGGGUCUAAUCAGAGCUGUAGCCACCAGCCUACGCCAGAGCCACAGCAACACGGGAUCCAAGCCACGUCUGCAACCUACACCACAGCUCACAGCAACACCGGAUCCUUAACCCACUGAGCAAGGCCAGGGAUCGAACCCACAACCUCAUGGUUCCUAGUCAGAUUCAUUAACCACUGUGCCACGACAGAAGCUCCUGAAUUAUAUACUUUAAAACAAGAGCCAGAGUUCUCUUAUGGCUCAGUGGGUUAAGGAUCCGGCAAUGUCACUGAGGCAUCUUGGGCCACUGUUGUGGCAUGGGUUCAAUCCCUAACCUGGGAACUUCUGCAUGCUGUAAGCAAAGCCAUAAAGUGGGGGGGGGGAUAUUUUAUGUUAUGUAAAUUAUACCUCAAUAUAACUGUGAAGGAGAAGGGAAAGGAGGGACGGGGAAGCAGAGGGACUACAGUGCAUCUGAGAUGAUGGAUAAAAUGGAUAGAUCUCAAAGAGGUAAUCUGACUAAAGUUUCAGCUAGAUAGAUGGCAGAACCAAUACUGAAACCUAAGCUUGACUACAAAAUCCUUAUUCUUUCUACAUCCAGAAGGGUACAUCAGAAGCAGUAGAAGCAAGGUAUAUCUUACUCAACUUCCCAAGGAUAAAUUCAAUCCAUCAGUAAAAUAGUAUAUGGGACAUACACAAAAGGUUCCUUUAAAACUGAGAAUUAAGAGAUUUAAAUGUAAGAGGUAAAUCAUCUGUAGAAUGAAAAAGUUAAAUAGACAAAAUACCAACAAAGUGGCAUGGGAACCAGGAGGACCCGCAUCUUGUCCAUGACUGUAUGAAAGCUAAAAUCAAAUUAACUGAACAGUGAGGAGAGAUGAAACAAAUUAAAUCUGGCACUUUGUCUCCAACACUGUCUCUGGAUAGUGUUCUGACCCAGAUCUGCUGUAGUGCAGCUAUAUAUAUCAGGCUCCAUAAUACUGACAACUAUGAUGAUCCAACUCGUUCUGAGUUAAUUCCAGUUUUACUAGUCAAUCUUCAGGUUAUAAUCUGUGUCUGACAUAGGUCUUCCCACAGGAGGAGAAUGCAAUGACUGGUGAGCACAGACACAUUUCUUUUGAAAGUUUCAUUUCUCAAUGUAUAUCAAUAAUCUGACACCCUGAUUUAUACCUCAGACUUAACCUGAAACCUAAAUCACUCCUGCAUAUAAAUAAUAAAUUGAACUUCUAAGCAUAUCAGCUCUGAGAACCAGAAUCUGGUACAUAGUUCAUCAGCUCCCGCCACACUUAAGAACUGACUCAUCAGGCAGUCAACCUUCCCUAGAGACACUCUUCUGUCCUGCUGCAUACCUCUGAAAACUGCAAUUUAUAUUCUGUUUUACAAACUAGAUGAAUGCUGCUUAGAAAUCUACAUAUGUAAUGCCCCCCCCCCCGGCCAAAAGACAAAUGCAUUCAUAUUUCAUGGUUUACAGCACUGUUACAUUAGCUCAUUUACUAAUCCAACAUCCUGAGAUGACCAGGACAUACAUGCUUAUUCCCAAUACUAGAGAAAUGAAAGUUUUCAUAAAAAAACAUGCUGCUAAUAAACAGACUAGGCUAGAUUAGAAUUCAGAUCUUGGUCUCCAAAUCUAGUUGUUCCCUAAACUUUAGACACUGUAAUUGUUUAAAAGUCCAACCCAAUAAAACCAAGAAAGCCUGCACUUCUGCCAGAAAAACCAAUGAUUAUUUUCUGCAAUCUAAAUAGCAAUCAGAGAAAUCCUUUAAUAAAUAAGAUAAUCUUACAGGGAUCAGGAUAAACUGUAACUGAGAGAAAUGUUCAAAUUCGAAUAAAGGAAGGAAAGUUAUAAACAAAAACUUAUAAACAACACUAAAGGAAGUGCUAACAGAAACAAAACUUCCAUUUAAACUAAAUGAAGAAUUUCAAAUGUAAAUAAAAACAAAGUGCCUGCCUUCUCUUAAAAACUUGUUAGAAAACCUAUGAAAUGGCUUAGAGAUAGGAAGGACUGAAGUUAAUAAUUUGGUUUCAUUACAGAAGUGGUAUUAAGAAGUAUACAGCAUAGGUCACAGAGGCGGCUCAGUUCCAAUAUUGCAGUGGCUGUGGCAUAAGCCUACAGUUUCAGCUGCAAUGUGCCCCUAGCCUGGGAAUUUCCAUAUGCCACAGGGCACAGCCCAAAGAAAAAGAUGUUUAUUUGGAACCUUUAACACAAUGCAGAAGAACUUCCUUUAAUCUUACAUUUUAAAACAUAAAACUACUCCAAGAAUGGAACUAUAAUUGAAAAAGGAACUUAAUACUAAAAUUAGUUCACCGUAGGUUCAACCAAAAUUGUCACAAAGAAACAUGUUUCAAAUUUCAUUCUAAAAUUUCUAUCUUAGUUUGCUGUACGCCUUCAAGGGUUAGGCAGAGCAAAUGUCAGGUUAAUCUCUUUCCAGUCUCAUUUCAAUCAUUUCAACAUCUUCCAGAAAUAAAAUUAUAAUUAAAUCCAAGUUUAGCAAUGAAUGGAUAAGCUCAUCUACUGAGAAAGAGAGGGUAAGUGAUGUUAAGUGGGCUACAAGAGAGUAGAAAUUUUUAAAUAACUGCUGUGAGAAAGAACUAACUAGGAACAAAGAAGGAUUACUGGGUGAUGGUGAGGGUCCAAUUAAAAUUGGUGAGCAUGAAUAUUUAGUGGCUCCAGUCUGCAAAAUUGUGAUUUUUCUCCAUAUGUACUCAGCAGGUCAAAGCCAGGUACACAGAAAUCAGAAAAAUUAACUGAGCUGUGGUUGAGUACUGGUUGGACAGAUGCAAAGCAGCUCAACAUAUUUCAAAAGUUAAAGUUCCAAGCGAGAUAAGAAAAUUAAGGCAGGAAAGGGACAAAAGAGGUGUCAAAGGACUAGAAGGCUCAUUAAGAUUGAAAAGAAAGUAUCAAUGUCUGAAGUUCAAAAAAAUUAAAAAAUUCAACAAAAUAUGCAGAAAUUCAUGAAUAGAUCUUUUUAUGACAAAGCACCAUUUUUUUUAUUAUUUUAGAAAGUGGAAUGCUCCUUCCUAACAAUUCAAAUUUCCUUUUUUUAAGGGAACUUGAAAGGUUCCAAAUAGAAAAGGUCAAAUGUUUAAAGUACUAUAAUUGCAAAUUUAUAUGUUCCUCAACAUUUCUAUGUAAAGCAAAUAUUUUUCCAAUGAUAUUUUGAAUUAACUAAGUAAGCUUCCAAAUUUUUUAGUGAAUCAAAGAAACUUUACCAAAAAUCUUACUGUAAGCAAAUCUGUCACCCCACACUCAAUAUACCACCCUUUAAUAGACAAGAGUUUGUGUGUGUGUGCGUGUGCUUAAAGUGAAGUUACAUGACAAAACAAUUACUUUCUAUUUCUAAGCUCUAACUUGACCUUAAGUGAACCUAGUCAGUAACAUUAUGUAAUGAAUGAAUGAAGUAAUAAAGUAGAAAGGAAAAAGGUGGUUGAAAAGAUUUGGGAACAAUGGAAUAAAGGAAUUAAUUUUAGCAAAGAUGAUGUUUUCAGCAUAUCUGAAGCUGGAAAGAAAAAAUCUUUUAAAAAGGUUUCAAGUAGUAUACAAUCAAGCUUAGUAUAUGAUACAAAUCUAAAUUAUUCAAUUUGGUUGAAUUUAAGUACUAUUUAUUGAAUGUUUAUCAGUUUGCCCAACAUGUGCUCUGCUGCUAUGGAGCACACACAAAAGCAACAUGUCCCUACCCUGAACACACUUCACAGUAUAGAAAAGAAAGCCACAUGCGAAUUAUCACAAUACAAACAGUAUUUAAUUAAGUGCCAACAAGUAAGAUAGUUACAGCAGGGUAUUUACAACUUAACCAAUAUGAUUACUAUCAGGGGGCAAGGUGGGGAGAAGAAUAUCACACCAAAAAAAAAAAAAAAAAAUCACUAUCAGAUCUCACAGGAGUACCUGUUUCUGGAAUGCCUGGCUAUGGUUUGGACUGAAGAGCCACAACUGUGUUCCUACUGAAGCAUGGUGGUAAGAGACCUGUGUUUUGUAUGUUAAGAAAAUAUUAUUCACAUAUACAUAUGCAUGCACCACUUAUGCACACAGGGAUGUUGAUUUGGUUAAUAAACUUUCAGUAUCUGGUAAUGGUUACUGUCUUUUUUAAUAAAAUGGAUCAAAACUACUAGCAAACUUUUUUAAAGCUGUGUAAGUUAAACCAGAAAUUACAGCACAAUGUGAUAAAAGGGCAACUAGAUUCUCUAUCCAAGAUUAUGAUGUAUUUGCCUAUACCUCCAUCCUAUAAAAUUGUGCUUGCAUAAUUGUGCUUGCUCAAAACCUAUAUACAUGUGGAGCUUCACUGCUUUAAUUUCACCACUUAGCUUCUACAAUAUUGCCUAAGAACUAUUUACUUGUCACCCUCUGCAUCCAUUCUUUCAACAAUUUCUACCACUGACGGAAGAGCUCAUUGCAAAUAUAAAUUUUCACCUGCCAGUAAUCUUUAAAAGGUAAGCUUCCAUACACAGAAACACCAGUACCAUUGGUAGUGCUAUUAAUCCAUUUCGACCCAUAUCACAUGUUAAAUGCUCUGGUAUAGGAUACUUCUCACCAUCUACUAUAUUUCACCCAUUCAAAUACAUACAUUUUCUCCCGAUUUUUAACAUUUCUGAGGUAAAGAUACAUCUCACAAUCAGCAUUUUAUAACUGCGCUCAACAGAGAGUAACUGAACAGAGCUGCCAUUGUUCAUCCACGAACUCAGUCACAGCUAUUCACCCUGUCAUCAACUGAGUUAUUAUCAUUGUUAAUUUCAAGCAUGUUAAGCUUAUUUUUAAAAUGUCUUUUAAAGAGUUCCCCGGCACGCAGUAGAAAUGAAUCCGGCUAGGGAACCAUGAGGUUGCAGGUUCAAUUCCUGGCCUCACUCAGUGGGUUAAGGAUCCAGUGUUGCUGUGAGCUGUGGUGUAGGCUGGCUACAGUUCGGGUUGGCCCCCUAGCCUGAGAACCUCCAUAUGCCGCAGAUGUGGCCUUAAAAAAGACAAAAAAAUAAAAAAUAAAAAAAUGAACUACUCCUCUGUAAUUUGGUAUUGAAAUGAAAAGUUAUCGUGUAUAAAAAGGCAGAAAAAAACGAGAUUAGCAAAUCAAAUUUCCUUAUUGCUAGUAAUAAUCUCAAUUCCAUGUUUUCUUGCAAAGCAUCAAUAAAGUGAUUUAUGGGAUAUGACAACAGCCACAAGUAGAUGAAGCUGUACUAUGUUUUGUUACUGAGGACAGCCUAUCACAUGCCAAGUAAUAUAAAUGAAGGCAGAAGAAACUGUCUUCUCUCUGGGAAUAGAUAAAAGCAAGUGGCUGGUAAGACUGUGCAGGCAUAUGGCAUAUUCCUUCCUAUUGUACAUAAAAUAGUACUGUGUCUUCUCUUUUUUUUCCCCCUUUUUAGGGCUGCACUUGCAGCAUAUGGAUGUUACCAGGCUAGGGGUCGAAUUGAGCUACAGCCGCUGGCCUAUGCCACAGCUACAACAAUGCCAGAUCUAAGCCGCAUCUGCAACCUACACCACAGCUUGUGGCAACGCCGGAUCCUUAACCCACUGAGGGAAGCCAAGGAUCAAACUUUUGUCCUCAUGGAUCCUAGUCAGGUUUGUUAACCACUGAGCCACAAAGGGAAUUCCCUGUGUCUUCUCUUAAUGGCAACUCAGGUUCCAUGAAAUAAGACUUUAAAGAUUAGAAUCCUUCAUUCUUAGUCUUUCUCAUCUUGGAAUGGCACCACCAUUCACUCAAUUAUUAAAGUCAGAAACUUGGAAAUCAUCCUUGACUUAUUACCAAAACACAUAAAUAAUCACAACACUUCUCACUAUCAUCUCUACUGCAGCAUGGUCCAGGUACCAUCACCUGGACACUGCAACAACCUAACCCUUCCCUUUUCCAUUCCACCCCCAGCAAAAUCCAACAUUCACACAGAAGCUAGAGCAGAAGUUCUCAACCUUGCCACUCAGGACAUUUUGGGCCAAUACUCCUUGUUGGAGGGGGCUGUUCUGUAAUACUGUAGAAUGUUUAAUCUCUACUCAUUAAUGCCAGCAGUAUACACUAUCACCCCUGGUCAUGACAACCAAAAGUGUCUACAGAUUGCCAAGUGUCCCCUGGGAAGCAAAAUAUAACCUGCAGUUAAGAAUCACUGAGCUGAAGGAAUGAUUUUUAAAUAUUUCUCUGCUUAAAAUUCUCCAAUGGUUUCUCAUUUUACUUAUAACAAAAUCUGCACUCCUUAGAGUCCUUACUAACCCAAACAUAUCCUACAUAAUCCAAACUCUGGUCUACCCCUCUAAUGUCAACGUAAAGCCACUUUACUCUUCUUGCAUUAUGCUCCCUCCAAUGACCAUGACCUCUCAUUUCCUAAAAUAUCACAGCUAUUUCUUGCCAUAGAGAUCCUGCCUUUGCUCUUCUUUGUGCCUGGACCAUUCUUGCCAGGUUAUAUGCAAGCUCAGCUUAAAUUUCACAUCAUCAAAGAUGACUUUCCUGACUCUCCUUGUUUAUGUAUCCCAUUAUUAUCCAUCACAGUAAUUCUCAUUUAUUAUCUUAUACUUCUAACAUAGUAUAUGGUUAUUUUGUUUACCUGAUUGACUAUCUCUCACAUGAGGACAAAUACCUUGUCUGCCCUAUUCCCAGCAUCUAGGCAAAAUGAAAUGAACAACUAUUUAUUAACUGAAGAACCUUAAGUACUAGGUAAGUUGGCAUCAAUAACCUCAUCUCCACCUCCCUCUCAUUCCCCAUCUGUUUUUAUGAUCAUCUCCAUGAAGUGGAGGAAAGAAUGUGGACAUGAGAAGAAGAGCCUAACAAAGCCCUCAUCUAUAAAGUAUAUUUGCCAUCAUUAUGUUCCCUGAAGCACUGGGUGCUGAUUAAAUGACAUAUGUAAUGAAUCUAAAGCACUUGAAUGAUGUGAUAAAAAGCUUGUAUUCAAUAAAUGAUGGCUUUGUAUUUAAAGUACCAAGCACAAUAUCUGUACAGACAAUUGAUAGUCUGUACAGAAAAAUGAUAGUCCUCUUGCCCUUUUUAAAACAUUACUCUACCACCAACUAGCCUGAAUAUGGUAAUAAUGGAAUUCUAAGAGAUACCUCUCCCCUUCUGAGCCUCCAGGAAUACAACAUACCAUACUAGGUGUAACAUAGGUUAGACAUUCAUAUAUGUAUGUUGACUAAGAAAAGCCAAAUAUUCAUUAACUAAAGCUAAUUCAUCACAAAAUGACUUCAGAAUUGUAUUUCAAUUAGUUUCAGCAAACAAAAUAACCAUAAGCCUGAUACAGGAAAUAUUGUUAGCUAUUAAGGUUAUCACAUUGUUGUUACUAUUAUUUUGUUUCUUUGCAUCACUAUAGUUAAUAGCUGCCAUAGCCUAUAGCAUAUAUGCAAAACAUUUCCAUCAUUGCAGAAAGUUCUAUUAAACAGUACUGUAUCUGACUACAGGAUGGUUAGAAUGCCUAUUGAAAUAAUGCAUUAUCAUAUUUUCUAAUUUUUUAGGAAAUGCUUAUUAGAAGAAAGCACUCUAAACCUAAAGUAGUUUUUAAUCUAAUAACUUUGACAUGCAAUGAAGAACUUGGAUUUUGGUCCUAUUUAACAAGUCAAAUAAAAAAGUGGGGAAGGAAAGAGAGACUUUUUAUAAGCAUCUCUAUUCUACAAGAUAACCAAAUAAAUAAAUUUUGUACUCCCUUUCUACCUUACCCCAGUAAACGCUCUCUCAGUCAAAGGUAAUAAUUUUUCCUUUUAGAAAAGGAAUAAGUUAUUAUAUCCAAGUAUAAUUAUCAACAUUAAAAAAAACUAACUUGUGAUGCUGUAUCAUACAUGCUUCUUUAACACAAAUCUAGAAGAGGGUCUAACAAUUAGCUCAAUUUUAAAGUACUGAUUAGGAAAAAAGAUAUUUUGAGAUAUCUGCAACAUCUGCAACUUAAUUUGAAAAUACUUCUGGUUUUUAUUGAUAACAAAGUCACAGUAUUGCCCAUACAACUGAAAUUUCUGGCCUACAUUCAAAAUUGAAGAAAAUGCUACAUCUCACCUAGAGGUUGGUGAAAAUAAAAAUAUGAUUAUUUUUCCACCUAAGUUUAUGAACCCCAGGUUUAAAAAAAAAAGACUGUUUAAACCAUUAGACUUUAGAGUUAGAAAAACUUGGACUCAAACCUACCACUCCCUACCUAGACAACAGUGGCAAAAGAUACUUAAUCUCUAUACUUCAAAGAUCCAUGAAAUGUGAUUAAUACCAAUGUAAGACUGCUGUGUUAUUUAAUUAUUAUCAUGCUAUACAACACAAUAUUUGACACAUUCUCAAUAAAUGCGUAUACUAUUACAAUCAAUAACCAAAUUCUGUCUGUACUUCACAACCUUAUGUGUAUCAGAAAGACAGAAAUUUGAUGUUCAGUUGUUCUGGGGUAGAUUCCCAACCAUUCUUUGGUAUUUUUAAGGUUCUUGGGUCAUUCUAAUGUGUAGCCACUGACCUAAGGAUAAAGUUCAAAUUAGCCUGGCACACUAGGCACUCUGGUCACUGCCUACAGCUAUAUAUUUUAAUCAGUCCUAUUAGGUAACCCCAUGCUCUUCACAUACAGUCAAUUAAUGCUUCCUCAGGAAAUGGGCUACAGCAUGGCUCUCCAACUUUCAGCCUGCAUCAGAAUCACCACAAAGACCUGUUAAAACACAAAUUGCUGGUCUCU